AAUUCGAUUAGAGUUUGAUCCUGGCUCAGAUUGAACGCUGGCGGCAGGCCUAACACAUGCAAGUCGAGCGGAUGAAGAGGGCUUGCUCUCUGAUUCAGCGGCGGACGGGUGAGUAAUGCCUAGGAAUCUGCCUGGUAGUGGGGGACAACGUUUCGAAAGGAACGCUAAUACCGCAUACGUCCUACGGGAGAAAGCAGGGGACCUUCGGGCCUUGCGCUAUCAGAUGAGCCUAGGUCGGAUUAGCUAGUUGGUGAGGUAAUGGCUCACCAAGGCGACGAUCCGUAACUGGUCUGAGAGGAUGAUCAGUCACACUGGAACUGAGACACGGUCCAGACUCCUACGGGAGGCAGCAGUGGGGAAUAUUGGACAAUGGGCGAAAGCCUGAUCCAGCCAUGCCGCGUGUGUGAAGAAGGUCUUCGGAUUGUAAAGCACUUUAAGUUGGGAGGAAGGGUUGUAGAUUAAUACUCUGCAAUUUUGACGUUACCGACAGAAUAAGCACCGGCUAACUCUGUGCCAGCAGCCGCGGUAAUACAGAGGGUGCAAGCGUUAAUCGGAAUUACUGGGCGUAAAGCGCGCGUAGGUGGUUUGUUAAGUUGGAUGUGAAAGCCCCGGGCUCAACCUGGGAACUGCAUUCAAAACUGACAAGCUAGAGUAUGGUAGAGGGUGGUGGAAUUUCCUGUGUAGCGGUGAAAUGCGUAGAUAUAGGAAGGAACCNCCAGUGGCNAAGGCGACCACCUGGACUGAUACUGACACUGAGGUGCGAAAGCGUGGGGAGCAAACAGGAAUUAAGAUACCCUGUUAGUCCCAC
RNAcentral lists this ribosomal RNA (808 nucleotides) under Pseudomonas sp. Its description in RNAcentral is "bacterial SSU rRNA". It matches the Rfam family "Bacterial small subunit ribosomal RNA", at positions 1 to 798 of the family's 1533-position model. Lineage: Bacteria; Pseudomonadati; Pseudomonadota; Gammaproteobacteria; Pseudomonadales; Pseudomonadaceae. The record is from RNAcentral.